AUUGAACGCUGGCGGCAGGCUUAACACAUGCAAGUCGAGCGGGGUGAUGGUGCUUGCACUAUCACUUAGCGGCGGACGGGUGAGUAAUGCUUAGGAAUCUGCCUAUUAGUGGGGGACAACAUCUCGAAAGGGAUGCUAAUACCGCAUACGUCCUACGGGAGAAAGCAGGGGAUCACUUGUGACCUUGCGCUAAUAGAUGAGCCUAAGUCGGAUUAGCUAGUUGGUGGGGUAAAGGCCUACCAAGGCGACGAUCUGUAGCGGGUCUGAGAGGAUGCUCCGCCACACUGGGACUGAGACCCGGCCCAGACUCCUACGGGAGGUAGCAGUGGGGAAUAUUGGACAAUGGGGGAAACCCUGAUCCAGCCAUGCCGCGUGUGUGAAGAAGGCCUUAUGGUUGUAAAGCACUUUAAGCGAGGAGGAGGCUCUUUUGGUUAAUACCCAAGAUGAGUGGACGUUACUCGCAGAAUAAGCACCGGCUAACUCUGUGCCAGCCGCCGCCGUAA
Molecule: ribosomal RNA, 503 nt
Filed under: uncultured bacterium
Lineage: Bacteria
Description: partial 16S ribosomal RNA
Rfam family: Bacterial small subunit ribosomal RNA
Source: RNAcentral